This 145-nucleotide unclassified non-coding RNA is filed under the name uncultured Mycosphaerella. The record is from RNAcentral. Lineage: Eukaryota; Fungi; Ascomycota; Dothideomycetes; Mycosphaerellales; Mycosphaerellaceae.
CUGAGUUAGGGAGCAAUCCCAAACCUCCAACCCUUUGUGAACACAUCUUGUUGCUUCGGGGGCGACCCUGCCGUUUCGGCGGCAUUCCCCCCGGAGGUCAUCAAAACACUGCAUUCUUACGUCGGAGUAUAAAGUUAAUUUAAUA